ACUCUCUGAUUUCCUUUUACAUUAGAUCUGGAUACUAGUCUUGGUGGUGUAAAGGAAGGAAUAGUAAUACUGACUUUGGCCUUACAGUUCUCAUAGUCUGCUAUAUAACACAUGGGACAGUUUCUAACAAGG
Molecule: small nucleolar RNA, 132 nt
Organism: Sorex fumeus (smoky shrew)
Lineage: Eukaryota; Metazoa; Chordata; Mammalia; Eulipotyphla; Soricidae
Product: small nucleolar RNA SNORA61
Exons: 1
Source: RefSeq, a predicted model, not a curated record